UUGAUAGAGAAUGUUCGAAUUGAUUAAUCCAGUGAGCUAGAGGGUUAAAAAAUUUGUAAGGAUUUUUUUGAAGAAGUUUAUUUUUACCAAUUUUGUGUUUGUAAGGACGUUGUACGGUUAGAAGUGGAGCUAUGUAGAAUAGAUAGGAUAUUUUUUGUUUUACAAUACAUAGUAUGUAGGAUUAAAAAAAAACUAGUAAACUGAUGAAUGGAUAGUUUAGAAGGCAUGAAGAAUGAUAUAGUCAAAAAAGUAGUUAUCAUUGAUUAUGUAGUGGUUGGAAUUUCAAAAAAAACAUAAGUAGUUUGAAGAAGAAAUAGACGGGGCGAGAUUGUGAUAGUUAUGAACUAAGGUAAGCUUGGUGCUACUUCUUUGUUUCUUUGUUUUCUUUGUAAAAGAAGAAUAAUGGAUAGAAUUUGAAUAAUAAGAAGUGAAAUUCUAGAAUAAAAGAAAGAUUUGAUUUAAAUGAUGUCAAAUGAGAAAUUGAAUUUAUGAUGUGCUAAAUUAUAAGUAAGAGAUUGGAAAGUUGAUAAUAGAGGAUGUUUGUGAAGUAUGAAUAUGAUCGGGAGAAUCAUAAUACAUUAAAUUUUGAGAGUUGAAAGUGUGCCAAGAAGAAGACUAUGAAGUCUGAAAUUAUGUGAAGCAGAUU
This 646-nucleotide long non-coding RNA is filed under the name Physcomitrium patens. RNAcentral's name for it is "long non-coding RNA (PPAT_LNC014980)". Lineage: Eukaryota; Viridiplantae; Streptophyta; Bryopsida; Funariales; Funariaceae. The record is from RNAcentral.